Molecule: ribosomal RNA, 499 nt
Filed under: uncultured bacterium
Lineage: Bacteria
Description: partial 16S ribosomal RNA
Rfam family: Bacterial small subunit ribosomal RNA
Source: RNAcentral
AUUGAACGCUGGCGGCACGCUUUACACAUGCAAGUCGAACGGCAGCACGGACUUCGGUCUGGUGGUGAGUGGCGAACGGGUGAGUAAUACAUCGGAACGUACCUUAUCGUGGGGGAUAACGCAGCGAAAGCUGUGCUAAUACCGCAUACGCCCUGAGGGGGAAAGCGGGGGAUCGCAAGACCUCGCGCGAUUAGAGCGGCCGAUGCCUGAUUAGCUUGUUGGUGGGGUAAAAGCCCACCAAGGCGACGAUCAGUAGCUGGUCUGAGAGGACGAUCAGCCACACUGGGACUGAGACACGGCCCAGACUCCUACGGGAGGCAGCAGUGGGGAAUUUUGGACAAUGGGGGCAACCCUGAUCCAGCAAUGCCGCGUGAGUGAAGAAGGCCUUCGGGUUGUAAAGCUCUUUUGUCAGGGAAGAAACACCGGCUCUAACACAGUCCGGGAAUGACGGUACCUGAAGAAUAAGCACCGGCUAACUACGUGCCAGCCGCCGCGGUAA